GACGAACCGUGCAAACGUUAUUCGGAAUCACUGGGCAUAAAGGGCGCGUAGGCGGCUCCAAAAGUCAGGGGGUGAAAUCCGGCAGCUUAACUGUCGCAGUGCCUUUGAUACUGUGGAGCUAGAGGGAGGUAGGGGUCUGUGGAACUUCCGGUGGAGCGGUGAAAUGCGUUGAUAUCGGAAGGAACGCCGGUGGCGAAAGCGGGUCUCUGGGAUAUCCUGACGCUGAGGAGCGAAAGUGUGGGGAGCGAACAGG
This 253-nucleotide ribosomal RNA is filed under the name uncultured bacterium. Its description in RNAcentral is "partial 16S ribosomal RNA". It matches the Rfam family "Bacterial small subunit ribosomal RNA", at positions 524 to 776 of the family's 1533-position model. The record is from RNAcentral.